Molecule: ribosomal RNA, 484 nt
Filed under: uncultured bacterium
Lineage: Bacteria
Description: partial 16S ribosomal RNA
Rfam family: Bacterial small subunit ribosomal RNA
Source: RNAcentral
AUUGAACGCUGGCGGCAUGCUUUACACAUGCAAGUCGAACGGCAGCGCGGGCUUCGGCCUGGCCGCGCGUGGCGAACGGGUGAGUAAUACAUCGGAACGUGACCAGUAUUGGGGGAUAGGUUGACGAAAGCCGGACUAAUAUCGCAUACGAUCUGAUGGUGAAAGCGAGGGUUCUUUGGUCCUCGCGCGAUUUGCUGGCCCGUAGCGAUGUUAGCUAGUUGGUGGGGUAAAGUCGUACCAUAGCGACGUUCCGUAGCUGGUAUGAGAGGACGACCAGCCACACUGGGACUAAGACACGGCCCAGACUCCUACGGGAGGCAGCAGUGGGGAAUUUUGGACAAUGGGCGAAAACCUGAUCCAGCAAAGCCGCGUGUGUGAUGAAGGCCUUCGGGUUGUAAAGCACUUUUGGCGGGAACGAAAAGGAAUGUGCCAAUACCACGGUUCGAUGACGGUACCCGCAGAAUAAGCACCGGCUAACUACGUG